UCUGCCAGAGCCAGGGAGCCCACUGCAGCCCUGAGGGCACUCACAUGGACAUGUUCUGGAAGCCUGUGCCAUUCUCCCAGCUGUCGAAGACGGGGAUUGUGCAGGGUGAGAGAAUGGUCCUCCAUGGCCCAGGGACAUCACCCAGGCAGCACUACCCACUGGGUGCAUAGGUGCAUGCCGACAGGGAAACUGAGGCGAAGAAGGGGCAGGGAUCCCACAGCAGUCGCACCA
RNAcentral lists this long non-coding RNA (231 nucleotides) under Homo sapiens (human). RNAcentral's name for it is "long non-coding RNA NONHSAT173933.1". Lineage: Eukaryota; Metazoa; Chordata; Mammalia; Primates; Hominidae. The record is from RNAcentral.